CUCGGGCCUUGUACACACCGCCCGUCACACCACGGAAGCCGGCAACACCCGAAGUCGGUGUGCUAACCCUUUUAGGGAGGCAGCCGCCGAAGGUGGGGUUGGUGACUGGGGUG
This 113-nucleotide ribosomal RNA is filed under the name uncultured bacterium. Its description in RNAcentral is "partial 16S ribosomal RNA". It matches the Rfam family "Bacterial small subunit ribosomal RNA", at positions 1373 to 1482 of the family's 1533-position model. The record is from RNAcentral.